RNAcentral lists this transfer RNA (69 nucleotides) under Pseudemoia pagenstecheri. RNAcentral's name for it is "tRNA-His". The record is from RNAcentral. Lineage: Eukaryota; Metazoa; Chordata; Lepidosauria; Squamata; Scincidae.
GUCAUUAUAAUUUAACAAAAAUAUUAGAGUGUGAGCCUAAAAACAGAAGUUUAACCCUUCUUAAUGACC